Molecule: transfer RNA, 67 nt
Filed under: Togoperla limbata
Lineage: Eukaryota; Metazoa; Arthropoda; Insecta; Plecoptera; Perlidae
Description: tRNA-Glu
Rfam family: tRNA
About the family: Transfer RNA (tRNA) molecules are approximately 80 nucleotides in length.
Source: RNAcentral
AUUUAUGUAGUUUAAAACAAAACAUUACAUUUUCACUGUAAAGAUAAAGACUUCCCUUUCAUAAUUA